CACCAUGUUAGCCAGGCUGGUCUCGAACUCCUGACCUCAGGUGAUCACCUGCCUCGGCCUCCCAAAGUGCUGGGAUUACAGGCAUGAGCCAUCGCAUCGGGCCGAGAAUGUUAGAUCUCUUAACUUUGGUGUCGUGGAAGCAGCAUGGGCUUUAGAGUCAGGCAGAUCUGGGUUCAAAUCCUGUCUGGCAGUCUAGUGGUGUAGCUUCUUUCUGGUAAGAAACCUACCUUUCCUGAUGCUCAGUUUCCUCAUCUGUAAAAUGGGAACAAAAAUAACCUGUUUUGUGGAGUUGUUCUGUGACGGUGGUUCUCAUGUGUGGUAGCUGGGGCAGCACCAGCAGCAGUGGCGGCCUCAGCAUCACCUGGGAACUUGUCAGAAAUGCAAAUUCUCGGGCUUCACCCUAGACCUCCUGAAUCAGGAAUUCUGGGAAUGACUAGGCAAACUAUUUUCAUGAGCCCUGUAGGUGAUUCUGAAGCUUGUUCAAGUUUGAGAGUCACUGACCUAUGGAUUAAGGUGAGUGAGUGCACCUGUGACAGAACAAGUGCUCACUGCUCUUGGUUUCCUUAUUAAAAGAGGGAGGGAGUUGAAAUGGGGUAGCUCUCAGAUUGCCUCUCUCCUGUUUUAUUUUGUGAUUCUCCCUUUUAGCCAUGGAAUUGGGGGAAGGAAAGAGGAACCAUUUGUCUAUCACAAACUGUCCCAGAGUCUUCCAGAUUUCACGUUUGGAAUGAAAGUCUCAGGAAGGCACGGACUUUGUUUUCUUCCUCAUGUAUGGCAUAGAGCAGCGGUCCCCAACCCCUGGGCCACAGAUCAGUAUCGUUCUGUGGCCUGUUAGGAACCAGGCUGCACAGCAGGAAGUGAGCGGCGGGCCAGCAAGCUAAGCUUCAUCUGUUUUUACAGCCGCUUCCCAUUGCUUCCGUUACUGCCUGAGCCCCACCUCCUGUUAGAUCAGCGGUGGCAUUAGAUUCUCAUAGGAGUGCGAACCCUAUUGUGAACUGCCCACGCGAGGGAUGUAGGUUGUCCGCUGCUUAUGAGAAUCCAGCACCUGCCGAUCUGUCACUGUUCCCCGUCACCCUCAGAUGGGACCGUCUAGUUGUAGGAAAACAAGCUCAGGGCUCCCACUGAUUCUACAUUUUGGUGAGUUGUAUAAUUGUUAUGUAUUGCAAUGUAAUAAUAAUAGAAAUAAAGUGUACGAUAAAUGCAA
This 1201-nucleotide long non-coding RNA is filed under the name Homo sapiens (human). RNAcentral describes it as "non-protein coding lnc-RC3H2-2:1". Lineage: Eukaryota; Metazoa; Chordata; Mammalia; Primates; Hominidae. The record is from RNAcentral.